GACGAACGCUGGCGGCGUGCCUAAUACAUGCAAGUCGAACGAACCGCAACGAGAACUUGUUCUGGUUAAGGUUAGUGGCGCACGGGUGAGUAACACGUGGGGAACCUGCCCUUUAGUGGGGGAUAACAGUCGGAAACGACUGCUAAUACCGCAUAGACAAUUUAACCGCCUGGUUAAGUUGGGAAAGGUGCUACGGCAUCAUUAAAGGAUGGCCCCGCGGUGCAUUAGCUAGUUGGUAAGGUAACGGCUUACCAAGGCGAUGAUGCAUAGCCGACCUGAGAGGGUGAUCGGCCACAUUGGGACUGAGACACGGCCCAAACUCCUACGGGAGGCAGCAGUAGGGAAUCUUCCGCAAUGGACGCAAGUCUGACGGAGCAACGUCGCGUGUGUGAAGAAGGUUUUCGGAUCGUAAAGCACUGUUGUUAGAGAAGAACGGCUACUAGAGGAAAUGUUAGUAGAUUGACGGUAUCUAACCAGAAAGCCACGGCUAACUACGUGCCAGCCGCCGCCGUAACAC
Molecule: ribosomal RNA, 517 nt
Filed under: uncultured bacterium
Lineage: Bacteria
Description: bacterial SSU rRNA
Rfam family: Bacterial small subunit ribosomal RNA
Source: RNAcentral